RNAcentral lists this ribosomal RNA (253 nucleotides) under uncultured bacterium. Its description in RNAcentral is "partial 16S ribosomal RNA". It matches the Rfam family "Bacterial small subunit ribosomal RNA", at positions 524 to 776 of the family's 1533-position model. The record is from RNAcentral.
GACGGAGGGGGCAAGCGUUGUCCGGACUCACUGGGCGGAAAGGGCGCGUAGGUGGUCUCGUGCGUCGGUGCUGAAAGCGCCGGGCUUAACCCGGCGAGGCGUGCCGAUACGACGAGACUCGAGGCAGAGAGAGGGUAGCGGAAUUCCGGGUGUAGUGGUGAAAUGCGUAGAGAUCCGGAGGAACGCCAGAGACGAAGGUGGCUACCUGGCUCUGACCUGACACUGAGGCGCGAAAGCGUGGGGAGCGAACCGG